This is a regulatory RNA element of Bifidobacterium magnum, 60 nucleotides long. It matches the Rfam family "msiK RNA". The record is from Rfam. NCBI's taxonomy places the organism in Bacteria, Bacillati, Actinomycetota, Actinomycetes, Bifidobacteriales, Bifidobacteriaceae.
ACAAGUAAUCCCCUCACAACGGAUCGUUCGGCACGUACCUGCCGAUGAAAGGAUUAAUGA